GCUUGGAUGGCUCAGCUGGUUGGAGCGCAGGUCUCAUACGCAAGUAUGACCGUCGACGACGGGCAAUCCUGAGUUCGAUCCUCAUUCCGAGCA
Molecule: non-coding RNA, 93 nt
Organism: Epithele typhae
Lineage: Eukaryota; Fungi; Basidiomycota; Agaricomycetes; Polyporales; Epitheliaceae
Source: the annotation of a RefSeq genome assembly